This 468-nucleotide ribosomal RNA is filed under the name uncultured bacterium. RNAcentral's name for it is "partial 16S ribosomal RNA". It matches the Rfam family "Bacterial small subunit ribosomal RNA", at positions 28 to 507 of the family's 1533-position model. The record is from RNAcentral.
GACGAACGCUGGCGGCGUGCUUAACACAUGCAAGUCGAACGGAAAGGCCCUGCUUUUGUGGGGUGCUCGAGUGGCGAACGGGUGAGUAACACGUGAGUAACCUGCCCUUGACUUUGGGAUAACUUCAGGAAACUGGGGCUAAUACCGGAUAGGAGCUCCUGCUGCAUGGUGGGGGUUGGAAAGUUUCGGCGGUUGGGGAUGGACUCGCGGCUUAUCAGCUUGUUGGUGGGGUAGUGGCUUACCAAGGCUUUGACGGGUAGCCGGCCUGAGAGGGUGACCGGCCACAUUGGGACUGCGAUACGGCCCAGACUCCUACGGGAGGCAGCAGGGGGGAAUAUUGCACAACGGGCGGAAGCCUGAUGCAGCAACGCCGCGUGCGGGAUGACGGCUUUCGGGUUGUAAACCGCUUUCGCCUGUGACGAAGCGUGAGUGACGGUACUGGGUAAAGAAGCACCGGCUAACUACGUG